UACGAAGGGGGCUAGCGUUGUUCGGAUUUACUGGGCGUAAAGCGCACGUAGGCGGAUUGUUAAGUCGGGGGUGAAAUCCUGGAGCUCAACUCCAGAAUUGCCUUCGAUACUGGCUUUCUAGAGGCUGGAAGAGGUUAGUGGAGUUCCCAGUGUAGAGGUGAAAUUCGUAGAUAUUGGGAAGAACACCAGUGGCGAAGGCGGCUAACUGGUCCAGAUCUGACGCUGAGGUGCGAAAGCGUGGGGAGCAAACAGG
RNAcentral lists this ribosomal RNA (253 nucleotides) under uncultured bacterium. Its description in RNAcentral is "partial 16S ribosomal RNA". It matches the Rfam family "Bacterial small subunit ribosomal RNA", at positions 524 to 776 of the family's 1533-position model. The record is from RNAcentral.